UAGCUCAAUGGUAGAGCAAUUGGCUGUAGUCCAAUAGAUCACCAACUCGAUCUUGGU
Transfer RNA from Selaginella moellendorffii, 57 nucleotides. It matches the Rfam family "tRNA", at positions 8 to 63 of the family's 71-position model. Rfam says of the family: Transfer RNA (tRNA) molecules are approximately 80 nucleotides in length. Their secondary structure includes four short double-helical elements and three loops (D, anti-codon, and T loops). Further hydrogen bonds mediate the characteristic L-shaped molecular structure. tRNAs have two regions of fundamental functional importance: the anti-codon, which is responsible for specific mRNA codon recognition, and the 3' end, to which the tRNAs corresponding amino acid is attached (by aminoacyl-tRNA synthetases). tRNAs cope with the degeneracy of the genetic code in two manners: having more than one tRNA (with a specific anti-codon) for a particular amino acid; and 'wobble' base-pairing, i.e. permitting non-standard base-pairing at the 3rd anti-codon position. NCBI's taxonomy places the organism in Eukaryota, Viridiplantae, Streptophyta, Lycopodiopsida, Selaginellales, Selaginellaceae. The record is from Rfam.